UACCCGGCGUGACCGCUCCCUUCCUCCUCCUCCUCAGUUGCGUGGUAGAGGCGAGCUCUACGAACCCUCCGGUUGUCGACCGCAGCUAGCAAAUUAGUAUGGUUGUCGGCUCAUGAUGCUUCAUGGUGCUUGAAAUCUCGUAGAGGUGAUCCCGAGGUCCUUCGGGGAGCCCUCGUAAAAAAGACGUGGCCGCCAGUUUUUACCAGGGUCGGCGUGGGGGUGCCUGAGUAAAACGCGACGACAACGUUCCGGGUGACGGUAGAAGAGAGGAAGGAAGAGGACGUAUCCGGGUGGUGUACGUUGUACGUUCUUUUUUGUUUGAGAGAAGAGAGAGGGAGUGAGCGGGGCUCCUUCUCGAGCAAGCGCGGGGGUUGCCCUGAAUCCGUCAGCCGGCGCUGCCCGUCGACCGAUGCCGCCCUCGGCCGGCCGCACUUCGUCCGCCUCCGCUCCGCCGGGCCGCUCCGCGCUUCGUCCGCCUCGAGCGGGCGCGGGCACCGGCCCCGCCUCAAGCGCGGGCGGAGACGCACCGGCCCCGCCGCAGCUUGCGCUGCCCAGACGUUCGUCGGCUUCCACUAAGGCCGCUAGCACCGUCUCCCGUUCACGGGCGGGCCGCCACGCCUGCGCCAGCACGAGAUGUGGUGGUGGGAGGCGCCGUAGGCGUUCUGCAAGCUCCUCACGUUGCGCCACACGCGGCGUUAGUUCCGGGUGCUGCACUUCCAGUAGCUCGCCCUGCACAGGUACCUGAGCCCGAUGGACCUCCUCGACGCCGACGAUGACCCGCCCGCCCUCGACGCGCACGAGAAACCACCGCAGGACGACGAUCCAUCUCUCUUCCUCCUCGUCCCAGUACGGCGGAGGUGGAGGUACCGGCUCGCCCCCUCUCUGUCUACAAAAAUGCUCAGUGGAGUCGAGGGAACGGGUCAACGGGACCACGUACACCGGCCGCCGGUGAGCAAGAGCUGGCUGGUAGACUGCUGAGGACAGAAGAGUGGGUGCGGAGGAUGUCGAUGUCAACAUGCUUGUACCCGCCUGGAUGGCUCGCCGACCUUGACCUACGACGCUCGCACGCACGGGUAGACACCGGUCGCCGCCGCGAAGGUGAAGCUCCGGCCCUUCUUGACCAGUCUUCUUCGUCGCUACCGCUAGCCCUUCAGCAAGGUGCGCCACCUCUGGCCCGUCCCGUACUGACUUAGUCCCCCCUUUUAGGUUGGACGUACCUCCCUCUUUGUACACACGAGAGGUUUCAGGGAUGACCUUAAAUUUUACUCUUAACCACGCGACCGCGACGGUUUACCCGGGGACCACAGUCGCUCUCUUUCCGUCUCUUCUUGGUAGGCGGCCGCUGGUUGUGACAACGGACGACCGAACGCAACGCACGCACCCUUACACGCGUCAUUGAAGUGUCAGUCGUCGCCGGUCGUCUUGCUCUCUCUUUCUCUCUCCUCCCCGUCGAGGUCUUCGUUCGAGGAUAAGAAAAGUAGGCUUCUUUUCUUUUUUCUUAAAGGAGAGGCUCCGAGUCCGCGAAAGGUAGGUAGCACGAAGAGGAGCAGUGUGGCUUGGGCCUCGCCCAGUGACUGUGCGACGGGGGCGGGCCUCGAGUUUGAGGGUAAGGCGAGGGGGGGGGGGAAGGACCGAACGCAGGAUGCGGACCGCGGAGAAGGUCAAGGUGGGGCCACGCGAGGCCAGGGACUGCCCGCCCGGGUGGCCCCCGCGCGGGCAGUAAAGGCGCCACCGGUGACACGCGCCUGCCUUCUUUCCGAGCCGAAGCCGAGGGUAGGACAGGAACCAGCCUGCCGCCGGUGGAGUGGGGCGAGUGGCGCCAAUCAGUUACUGCUCACCCAGGACGACUGGCACCCCGGGCAGCCAGCCACCCUCCCGUUCAAUACACGACGCUACACCGCCACGCCCCGCCCCCGUCCGCUCCACACACACACAGCACACACGCCCCGCCCCCACCCCUAAUAAAAUCAGGCGCCAAAAUAAGGCCGUAAAUUUUCCGGGCCGGUGGUGCGGCACCGGAACCAAGCAGAGGUGCGGGGGGUAUAAAGGGUAAGGAAAGGGACGGGACGAGGGUGGGUGUAGAGGUGGAGGUGGGAGGAGGAGGAGGGAGAGGUAGGUGAGGUGGCCGCGUAGCCCCCACAGAGGCAGAGGCAGGCCGGCAGCACCAAAAGAAAGAAGGGCCCGAUCCUGCGUGCGUGCGCGCUGUACCGGCGGCGUCGACGGCGGCUGCUGCGCCAGCGGCGGCUGUAGUAGACGAGCGACGCGCCCCGGCUGGACCGGCCCACCUGCGGCGGCACCUCGUUCGCGCGCUCCGGCUACCUCCCACUCGACAGGACCGGCCGGCACCGCGCGCCCUUCGCGAGCGCGGCGGCGAGAGGCCGCAGCAGCAGCCGCUGCCGCCGCCCCUUCCGCUCCACGCGGGCCAGGUCGGGCCGCAGCGGCGACCUGAUGUCGCGGCCGAGGCGGAGGGAGGCAAGGCCGCGCAGGUGGUCGCCGCCGCUCCUGCCGCGGAAGACGAGCGGCACCGUGGCGGCGCGCCGGUGGCGCGGCCGCUGAUGCUGCUUCCGCUGCUUCCACCCGAGGUAGGCUGCCGGCGUCAACUGGAAGGUCCGGGGCGGAGGUGCCGGGCGUCCAGUCUCCGUUGCCUUCUUUUACUCCGACGGCCUCCAGGUCGUCGACCACGCCAGCGAGCGGCACCUCUUGCUCUCGGAUGUGCUCCUCUACGCCCUUGACGUCUCCCGAACGAGGCGCGACAGCUUUCUUUUACUGUUCGAACUCCACUUGAAAGAAUAGACAAACGCGAGAAGAAAAAGACAGGGUCUAUCCCACGCACCCGGCGGUUGCUUGCCCAUAGAAAGGCCGCCUUGCCGAAUACUUUUUACGUAGGACAAAACAAGAUCGAGAUCGAAUUUCGUAUUCAGACCUCAAAAUAUAACAAUACCGUACCCUCGAAACAUACGGAGGGUUCAAUCACCAGGUAUACCAAGGGCAACUAGCAAAACAUUCGCGAAAUCAAACAUCCGAUAGGGGCGGAUUUCUACGACAUCCCACAUGUCCCACAACCAAACCACCGAUCACAGAAAAAAAGUAAAGUAACCGGUAAACAAAGACAGAAAACAACUUAGAAAAAGUGCCGAGCUAGUAUACCGAUUACCCUUAAAAUGUAACAAUAAACCACCUCUAAAGAGAUAAAAGAAAGACUUAUUGAAAAAAAACUUUAAAAGACUUAUUGAAAACCAUGAUGACAUGACAUCCGUUACUGGACAAGUCAAUUAUUGAAGUAUAGGUCGGUUGUCAUUGAGUUAUCUCCGUUGGUGUCUAGAAACAAAUUUACGGUACUAAUGGACCGAUCUGUUCACAGGCUAAAGACUAAUUUUACCGCGACAGUAAAGGUAAGUGAGGUUACUAAGAAAAAAAACAUGGUUUGUGCAGGACCAGAAAAGUGACAGAGAAAGAAAGAAACGGAUGUAAGUACUGGUCCCUUACUCUAGGUCACGGAACGACACUCGUUCCGUGGCUACUUGGUACUGGUCAGGAACGAUCAUCUUCACCUACGGAAGAAAACCGAUAAUUACGCGUAGGAUUCACUAUCUAUUACGGACUAGUUUAACAAUCGCUGAUUGAAAUGUCCUGAACUGACAUUCAGUAGAGUUUCAGCCCCGACUAGAACUCCCAAAUUAAGGGGUUUUGUCCCUCAGGGGUUUUGGUUUAGCCCUAAAAAGAAUAAACCUUAUUUUUUUAACAUGGGAACGUUUGUUUUUUACGGAUCGAUUCACUACUGACUUGUCAGUAUCGCUUUACAGGAAUUUUAUUACAAAAAGUCGCCAGGGGAAAACUCUGUCACCGGCGUAAACUAUCGACCUAAGUAUUGCAACCUUCCUGAACACACGCGAAUUCAGCGACAUUGAAUACGUUUUGUAUUGGUUGAUACAGCGUGUACAUCUUCGGUGUUUAAGAUUUUUGCCAUUAGUAAGUUGUCACCGUAACAAAAUCCCACAAACACGUAUGUUGUGUGAUGGUUGUUUUCCUUGAUGAAGAAAAUGCAAAAAUUCUAUGGUCUCGGGUGAAUUGAGGUAAACUAAGUCAAGUUGACAUCAACGUUGGUUGAGACGUUGAACCUAAAUUCCCAUAAAGCCGGUAAAAUUUAUCCUCAACCACGACCAGGGAGAAAUGUUAUUCUCUUUUGACCAUUUUUCUUUUAACUAUCACCUUCUCUCUGAGAGGUCCUCUUUGGAACUAUCAUUGAACAAGAGAACUUAUUCAAUGGGGAAAAGUACGCAUAGCAGUAUUCAAGAGAAUCAUUUUUUUUUGAAAAACCCGGAUAACUACACAUAAAGUACGACUAAUUAAGGAUCUGGAACGCACCACUAGAACCCCCCACAGGUCACUGGUAGAAUAAAAGAGUAGACACCGUACACACCAUCCACACCAGAGGUAGGGAUAGGGAUCAUGUGCUCGGUGCAAACAAACCAUACAACAUCGACCGAACCGGAAAGGGAUCAUGUGCUCGUCUGCGCCAUAAACAUUAUCCUUUUCAUUACCGAUGUGUAAUAGUUUCGUGAGUUACGUAUAUGUAGGUUCCUUCGACACCAAAUAGGAACACGACCAGAACAUCUAAACUUUAGUACCCUGGUUACGAAAAGAUCAUUUUUAAUCAGUUACCAUCAGUUACUUACCGGGGUUAAAGGAAACGAUAAAAUAAGAGUGCAGCGACAAAUACUUAAGAAUACAUGAUAUAUACGUUGUCCACACUUUCUAUGUACAUUUGUACGAAAGAGGGGAAGGUAGGAUUAUUAAAACAGACACGACACUAUAUCCGUGUAGAUUGUUUUUUUUCUUAGAACCGUAACACGUCUAUUCUUAUCUCGUUAGGUUGAGUGCCUUACUUCGGUGUAACUUCCUCGUCUUCCCUUUCGUCGUCGAACUAGUCGUCGUCGUCGUCAGGGGUGUACUGUCGAAGCGCGAUGGUCUAGAGUUGGAAGGACGCGUCCUGCCACGACUACCCAGUCAGGGAACAACUCGCCGAGGUCUGGUGGUGGCGCCGAAGCGAUUGGCUUAUUGUUUCACAUGUAUCUACAUCGUCCGAAUCGAUCUGCACCUCCCCCGUGCCCUGCCCUCACGGUAGAUUUCUUUUCUUACCGUGCCUAAAGUAUUCAAAAAUCUUAAAAAUGUCCCAGUCCACAGUGAUAGGACUCACUGUUCCAGUCCAACAUCGAUUUGUUUUACUGAUUAAAUCGAGUAGACGAUUGACAAAGAAUGGAUGGAUGAUCACGAAGAUACUCCCCACCGUGUCUAGUUUGGCUAAGUGUGACACAUCGGCUAAAUCUACGCAAAUAAGUACAACGAAACAAUGUUCACUACUACCUUUACAACAGACACGUCUAAACCAAUGACAUACUUCAUUUACUAGCGAACAAGAUAGAAAGAAAGACUAAAACCGCUUACCGGAAUGCAUACACCGUACC
This 5465-nucleotide ribosomal RNA is filed under the name Triticum aestivum (bread wheat). RNAcentral's name for it is "partial small subunit ribosomal RNA". The record is from RNAcentral. Lineage: Eukaryota; Viridiplantae; Streptophyta; Magnoliopsida; Poales; Poaceae.